This is a small nucleolar RNA of Athalia rosae (coleseed sawfly), 66 nucleotides long. The record is from RefSeq and is a predicted model, not a curated record. NCBI's taxonomy places the organism in Eukaryota, Metazoa, Arthropoda, Insecta, Hymenoptera, Athaliidae.
AAUAACGUGAUUAAGGCAAUACCGCCCCAGUCUGAUCUCCGUGACUGAUUGGUCUAUUUGAAUGAU